Molecule: long non-coding RNA, 405 nt
Organism: Lontra canadensis (Northern American river otter)
Lineage: Eukaryota; Metazoa; Chordata; Mammalia; Carnivora; Mustelidae
Exons: 4
Source: RefSeq, a predicted model, not a curated record
CGAACUGGAGACGAGGCUGCUUUCUGAGAAGGAAAUCAAGAAAACAGAAACACCACCACACACUUUGGUGGAUGAGCGCGGCCACCUCAAUCAGUAACCUUCCUUCGGCCACGGUCUGUCAAGAGGCGGCCAAGGGCAGCAAGUCAGGACAAGCCCCAGAAAGAGGAAGCAUCCUGUGCAUUUUAUUUAAGUGAACUGACAGAAGACGCAAUCUCUCAACCAUCUAUGGAAAGAUGUAGCUCAUAGAGUCACAGCAUCUUUGAGCUAGAAGAUAACUCCUGUUCUACAUAUGAGGCUAUUUCCUUUCUGCAUCGGAUGAGAUGAAAAACGAGAAGAGGCAUCAGAGAUUUGAGAAACAAGGAGAAGGCCCCAUUAGAUGAGGGAUAGUGGCCCAUGAAACAUGUA